UACGAGGGGUCCUAGCGUUGUUCGGAUUCACUGGGCGUAAAGGGUGCGCAGGUGGGCUGGUAAGUUCGAUGUGAAAGCCCCGGGCUUAACCCGGGAAUGGCAUUGGAUACUACUGGUCUGGAGGAUUGGAGGGGGGGACUGGAAUUCUUGGUGUAGCAGUGAAAUGCGUAGAUAUCAAGAGGAACACCAGUGGCGAAGGCGAGUCCCUGGACAAUACCUGACACUGAGGUACGAAAAGCCAAAGGGAGCAAACAGG
Molecule: ribosomal RNA, 256 nt
Filed under: uncultured bacterium
Lineage: Bacteria
Description: partial 16S ribosomal RNA
Rfam family: Bacterial small subunit ribosomal RNA
Source: RNAcentral